GGCUGUCGUCAGCUCGUGUCGUGAGAUGUUGGGUUAAGUCCGCAACGAGCGUUUUUCAACCCUUGUCAUUAGUUGCUACAUUCAGUUGGGCACUCUAAUGAGACUACCGGUGGCAAACCGGAGGAAGGUGGGGAUGACGUCAAGUCCUCAUGGCCCUUAUAGGUGGGGCUACACACGUCAUACAAUGGAUGGUACAAAGGGUCGCCAACCCGCGAGGGGGGAGCCAAUCCCAUAAAGCCAUUCGUAGUCCGGAUCGCAGUCUGCAACUCGACUGCGUGAAGUCGGAAUCGCUAGUAAUCGUGGAUCAGAAUGUCACGGUGAAUACGUUCCCGGGUCUU
This 338-nucleotide ribosomal RNA is filed under the name uncultured Acidovorax sp. RNAcentral's name for it is "bacterial SSU rRNA". It matches the Rfam family "Bacterial small subunit ribosomal RNA", at positions 1047 to 1382 of the family's 1533-position model. Lineage: Bacteria; Pseudomonadati; Pseudomonadota; Betaproteobacteria; Burkholderiales; Comamonadaceae. The record is from RNAcentral.